This 254-nucleotide ribosomal RNA is filed under the name uncultured bacterium. RNAcentral's name for it is "partial 16S ribosomal RNA". It matches the Rfam family "Bacterial small subunit ribosomal RNA", at positions 524 to 776 of the family's 1533-position model. The record is from RNAcentral.
UACGUAGGGGCCUAGCGUUGUCCGGAUUUAUUGGGCGUAAAGAGCUCGUAGGCGGUUUGGUGAGUCGGGUGUGAAAUCUCCACGCUCAACGUGGAGGGGCCACCCGAUACUGCCAUGACUAGAGUCCGGUAGGGGAGUGUGGAAUUCCCGGUGUAGCGGUGAAAUGCGCAGAUAUCGGGAGGAACACCGGUGGCGAAGGCGGGUCUCUGGGCAAUUCCUGACGCUGAGGCGCGAAAGCGUGGGGAGCAAACGGG